GACGAACGCUGGCGGCGUGCUUAACACAUGCAAGUCGAACGGAAAGGCCCGGCUUUUGUGGGGUGCUCGAGUGGCGAACGGGUGAGUAACACUUGAGUAACCUGCCCUUGACUUUGGGAUAACUUCAGGAAACUGGGGCUAAUACCGGAUAGGAGCUCCUGCUGCAUGGUGGUGGUUGGAAAGGUUCGGCGGUUGGGGAUGGACUCGCGGCUUAUCAGCUUGUUGGUGGGGUAGUGGCUUACCAAGGCUUUGACGGGUAGCCGGCCUGAGAGGGUGACCGGCCACAUUGGGACUGAGAUACGGCCCAGACUGCUACGGGAGGCAGCAGUGGGGAAUAUUGCACAAUGGGCGGAAGCAUGAUGCAGCAACGCCGCGUGGGGGAUGACGGCCUUCUGGUUGUAAACCGCUUUCGCCUGUGACGAAGCGUGAGUGACGGUAAUGGGUAAAGAAGCACCGGCUAACUACGUG
RNAcentral lists this ribosomal RNA (468 nucleotides) under uncultured bacterium. RNAcentral describes it as "partial 16S ribosomal RNA". It matches the Rfam family "Bacterial small subunit ribosomal RNA", at positions 28 to 507 of the family's 1533-position model. The record is from RNAcentral.